This 1741-nucleotide ribosomal RNA is filed under the name Acinetobacter baumannii 6112. RNAcentral's name for it is "bacterial LSU rRNA". It matches the Rfam family "Bacterial large subunit ribosomal RNA", at positions 1201 to 2925 of the family's 2925-position model. The record is from RNAcentral. Lineage: Bacteria; Pseudomonadati; Pseudomonadota; Gammaproteobacteria; Moraxellales; Moraxellaceae.
UGCGGAUUUGACAUUAGUCAAGUGGUAGGGGAGCGUUCUGUAAGCCGAUGAAGGUGUAUUGAGAAGUAUGCUGGAGGUAUCAGAAGUGCGAAUGCUGACGUGAGUAACGACAAAACGGGUGAAAAACCCGUUCGCCGAAAGACCAAGGGUUCCAGUCCAACGUUAAUCGGGGCUGGGUGAGUCGACCCCUAAGGCGAGGCCGAAAGGCGUAGUCGAUGGGAAAUUGGUUAAUAUUCCAAUACUUCUGUGUAAUGCGAUGAGAGGACGGAGAAGGUUAAGUCAGCCUGGCGUUGGUUGUCCAGGUGGAAGGAUGUAGGUAUGUAUCUUAGGCAAAUCCGGGGUACUCUAUACUGAGAUCCGAUAGCAAGCUGUACUUGUACAGCGAAGUGGCUGAUACCAUGCUUCCAGGAAAAGUCUCUAAGCUUCAGUUACACAGGAAUCGUACCCGAAACCGACACAGGUGGUCAGGUCGAGUAGACCAAGGCGCUUGAGAGAACUCUGCUGAAGGAACUAGGCAAAAUGGUACCGUAACUUCGGGAGAAGGUACGCUGUUGUUGGUGAUGGAACUUGCUUCCUGAGCUGAUGACAGCCGCAGAAACCAGGCCGCUGCAACUGUUUAUUAAAAACAUAGCACUCUGCAAACACGAAAGUGGACGUAUAGGGUGUGAUGCCUGCCCGGUGCUGGAAGGUUAAUUGAUGGGGUUAGCGUAAGCGAAGCUCUUGAUCGAAGCCCCAGUAAACGGCGGCCGUAACUAUAACGGUCCUAAGGUAGCGAAAUUCCUUGUCGGGUAAGUUCCGACCUGCACGAAUGGCAUAAUGAUGGCGGCGCUGUCUCCAGCAGAGGCUCAGUGAAAUCGAAAUCGCUGUGAAGAUGCAGUGUACCCGCGGCUAGACGGAAAGACCCCGUGAACCUUUACUGCAGCUUGACACUGAACUUUGACCUUACUUGUGUAGGAUAGGUGGGAGGCUUUGAAGUUGGAACGCUAGUUCCAAUGGAGCCGUCCUUGAAAUACCACCCUGGUAAUGUUGAGGUUCUAACUCUGUCCCGUUAUCCGGGACGAGGACCGUGUCUGGUGGGUAGUUUGACUGGGGCGGUCUCCUCCUAAAGAGUAACGGAGGAGUACGAAGGUGCGCUCAGCGUGGUCGGAAAUCACGCGUAGAGUAUAAAGGCAAAAGCGCGCUUAACUGCGAGACCCACAAGUCGAGCAGGUACGAAAGUAGGUCUUAGUGAUCCGGUGGUUCUGUAUGGAAGGGCCAUCGCUCAACGGAUAAAAGGUACUCUGGGGAUAACAGGCUGAUACCGCCCAAGAGUUCAUAUCGACGGCGGUGUUUGGCACCUCGAUGUCGGCUCAUCUCAUCCUGGGGCUGAAGCAGGUCCCAAGGGUAUGGCUGUUCGCCAUUUAAAGAGGUACGCGAGCUGGGUUUAGAACGUCGUGAGACAGUUCGGUCCCUAUCUACCGUGGGCGCUGGAAAUUUGAGAGGAUCUGCUCCUAGUACGAGAGGACCAGAGUGGACGAACCUCUGGUGUACCGGUUGUGACGCCAGUCGCAUCGCCGGGUAGCUAUGUUCGGAAGGGAUAACCGCUGAAAGCAUCUAAGCGGGAAGCCUACCUCAAGAUAAGAUUUCCCUAGGAAUUUAUUCCUCUAAAGAGCCGUUCGAGACUAGGACGUUGAUAGGUUGGAUGUGGAAGCAUAGUGAUAUGUGAAGCUGACCAAUACUAAUUGCUCGUGAGGCUUGACUA